AAUCUUCUUCCGUGGAAUCUCGCGGAAGACAUUACAACUACGGAAGACAGCUUCUUCCGUGGAAGCUCACGGAAAAUGUCUUCCGUGAGAUUCCACAGAAGAAUAUU
Molecule: microRNA precursor, 107 nt
Filed under: Glycine max (soybean)
Lineage: Eukaryota; Viridiplantae; Streptophyta; Magnoliopsida; Fabales; Fabaceae
Description: miR5673 stem-loop (gma-MIR5673)
Source: miRBase by way of RNAcentral